GCCGGGUAUGCUGGCUCAUGCCUAUAAUCCUGGUGCUUGGGAGGCUGAGGCAGGAGGAUGGCAGGUUCAAAGCCAGCCUCAG
Molecule: small RNA, 82 nt
Filed under: Marmota monax (woodchuck)
Lineage: Eukaryota; Metazoa; Chordata; Mammalia; Rodentia; Sciuridae
Source: RNAcentral